GUGAAUGUUCUAGAUCAACCAACACACUGACAGUGGUGAAUGUUCUAGACAUGCAUGAGAUUCACUCACUCAAUCACCCCAGCGCUUGGAGCUAGGCUAAUAAACAAGAGUUUGAGUCCGUUAAUAAAUAUCUGUAGAAUGUUCUGCUGUGAAAUAGAGUACACACACACACACACACACACACAGUGUGAAUGAUUAAAAAGGAGAAUAACAGGUGAAAGACAGAGCAAGCUCAUCUCUAAGUGGGAAGCUGAUCUGUAUAUCAACUGUUCUGUGUGGUGUGUCAGAAGCUUAAUUGACACAGGAGAGAAAAGCCUAAAUAAAGAAACAUCAUGACACAAUUCAUAUGGCCAGGUAAAACAUUUAUAAAUGAAUAAAAACCUUCCCUUUAUUUUCUGUUUCUUCCAGAUUUUUCCCCACAAAGUUUUUUUUUUUUUUUGCUUUUGUUUCAUGUUUUUCUUCUCUCUUAAAUUAUAUAAAAAUAUUUCAGACAUUCAUUUCGCAUGUGUUUCAUUCAGUCCUCUUGAUUAAUUCAUAUGCCCCUGUAUUUCUAAAGACCCAUUGGUUUAUACAUUAUUUACAGGUUAACUCAGUCCGUCUCCCGUUUCAGCCUUGGCGUUAGGACACCAGAACAUAUUUGCAUAGAUUCCAGGAGAGAUCUAUCUGUCGUUUCACAAUACAGGAACAAACAAAAAAAAGUGAGAGAGAGAACAGCUGACAGACAAUUUCCAGAAAUCUACAUUUAAAUCAAAAAUCGUUUGAAACUUAAAUCUUUAAAAAAAAUGACACACACACAAUACUAAUGAGAACCAUAAAUCCAUCCUCGUCAGCUCAUUGACUAGAUAAUCACAGUGAGUUGUUCAGCUCUCUUGUGGUAUCUUGUCAUUUGGAACAGUAACUACAUUCUCUCCAAACAUAGUUUGAAUGAUGAUAAGCAGUAAAUAUAAUAGGAAGUCGGGAAGUGACAUCAGAGGAUCUGCAUGGCAUUAUGUGGAGUGGCUGACUGGCAGUUUCAGAGAGAUGGCUGUAUGAGGGAGAGAGGUGCAUGACUGAGGAAGACUACUGCUGCCACACACACACACACACACACACACACACACACACACACACACACACAAAACCUGGAAAGAGCUGAACAGGCUCACAAAUCACCAAUCAACACAAUUGAAAUAGUUGCUUGAAUUUCUUAACAAUUUACAAUAAAAAGGAAAAUGCUAACAUGGUGACAACACCUGAUCCAGCUACUGGCUGUAGCCACCCUGAAACCCAGAUGUAUUUAACUCAACUGAGUUAGUUUAGGGUUUGUUGCAUGCAUAACGUAGAAUUACUUAUUGUAGGUUUGCGUUCUUGUGGAUGGGGGUUGCUUCAAGAGAACAGUGAACUGUCUAAUAAAGAACAGUGCAUCUAACUCACACAACCUUUAACAAGCAAUUAUUUCACAAGAAAAAUAUUCAUACAAGUUAAAAAAAAACAGACUUCGAGUGACUGAUUUGAUGUCUGAUCAAAAUGAAAUAGAUAACGGUUAAUAAGAGAUAAUCAUUUGGUCAUUGCCAGGGUACAGUUUGUGACCUCAAGGGGAGGGGGAUUUACCGACUGUAAAAUCCUUUUUUUCUUGCACAACGUAUUGAGACAAUAAAACCGAAUGAAAAGGGACACAUUGGAGGUGAACGAAACAGACAGAAUGAGAGGGUUUGGAUGGACAGCUGGAGGGACGGAUGGUGUUUUGGAAAACACUGCGGUAGUUUACUCCCUCCCUCUUCAACACAGAAACAGCUGGAUUCUCAGUCUAGCACAAGAUUACCCAGAACCUACUUGUGGAACUAGCGACUUCUCAUACAGAUUUUAUUGUUCAUAUUUUUAUUGAAUUACUGUAUAUUCUUUUUUUCCCCUCUUCAAACAUCUGGAUGUAGCUGUUCGAGAAACUUGGGGAAUAUCGUCAAUUCUGGAGAUUCAAUUCUUGAGAGUUAUACAUGUCCAGAAUAAGAGUAACAGCACAGGAUAUUAAGGGAACCAUUGUAGCCAUGGCUUUCAUCAAACGUCAAAGUCAAGAGUCGUACCUGUCGACCAGAGUUUCCUGCAUAUCCAUUUUAAAUUCUGACAGAUGUUCUGGGGGGAAAAAAACUGGCAAAAACAGUUGUUUCACUGACAGAGCAGAGAGAAUGUUGAGCCAAGAUACUGACAAUAUAGAGGCAGGGUUAGAGAUGGACUUUCACAUACACACACUGACACACACACUUAAAAACAACCUCAAACCUUAGAUAAAAAAAUACAAACGGAAAUGAAAGUAAUUAAAGUGUCUUGGCAAAGCCUCAAACACCGUGUGGGCUAGCUUCUCAACACAACGCAUACAAAUCAAUAUUAGAUGCACGGAAACACUGACAUGGUUAAAGUUUCUACAGACUAGUUUCCCAGAGAGAAGAAAAAAAGGUGCCAUCUUUACUUGGUACCUCAAGAGACAAGAAUGACACCUUUUAGAUAUGUAUAUUACCUAUGUAAGGUUAAGUAUUACCGUUUAAGACUGCAUCAUGCUUAGUUAGGCUAGGUCCAAGGUUAUCAUUAGCCUGGGUACCAGUCUCUUAGUUAGGCUAGGUCCAAGGUUAUCAUUAGCCUGGGUACCAGUCUCUUAGUUAGGCUAGGUCCAAGGUUAUCAUUAGCCUGGGUACCAGUCUCUUAGUUAGGCUAGUUCCAAGGUUAUCAUUAGCCUGGGUACCAGUCUCUUAGUUAGGCUAGGUCCAAGGUUAUCAUUAGCCUGGGUACCAGUCUCUUAGUUAGGCUAGGUCCAAGGUUAUCAUUAGCCUGGGUACCAGUCUCUUAGUUAGGCUAGGUCCAAGGUUAUCAUUAGCCUGGGUACCAGUCUCUUAGUUAACCUUGGAACUAGCCUUUCAUUAGCCUGGGUACCAGUCUCUUAGUUAGGCUAGUUCCAAGGUUAUCAUUAGCCUGAGUACCAGCCUCUAGAGAAUCCACUCCCUAUACACAAAUCAAAUCAACAUAUUAAUUGUCACGUACAUGUUGUCAUGUGCCAAAUAUGGUAAUGGCAAGGAGUAGAAUGUUAGCUAAGAGACUGGUACUCAGACUAGGUUAUUAUGACAGUUCUAUGUUCCAUUAUAGAACAGUUGGGGUGAAUGUUCUUUGGAUUCCAUGUUCCUAGCCUAGGUGAUAGAUCUACAGUAUCUUUUCCUUGAAGUAUCUUUCCCCCAACAGGAAGAAUGCCUUUCAGUAUAGAUAGUCAGCGUAAACUGAUAAUGGCCCUUUGGACUGGGACCCUAUUCUCCCAGGGUUUCGAGAGCCCAAAACAAAACUGUGUAGCCUAUUUCACACAACAACAGAUUUGAUGGACGGAUCGUCAAUUCGGUUAAUUGCAAACAGGAAACUAAAUGUGAUAAAUGUAGUCACAUUAAAACAAAUGUAAAGCUUUUAGAGGAACCAAUAUCUCCAGAGGAAAACCAGCACGAGAGAAGAGAGGUUGAAAGCAACGAGCACGAGGUUUUCUCCCAGUCUCAGACUACCGAUGAAACUUCCCAUCCUCCGUCCCACACUGAACCAUCAGAGAGGUAGACUCUACAAAGCAGGAUCAAUGAGUUAGCCAGCUAACUUUGACAAGCAACCAGAGGGGUAGACUCUACAAAGCAGGAUCAAUGAGUUAGCCAGCUAACUUUGACAAGCAACCAGAGGGGUAGACUCUACAAAGCAGGAUCAAUGAGUUAGCCAGCUAACUUUGACAAGCAACCAGAGGGGUAGACUCUACAAAGCAGGAUCAAUGAUUUAGCCAGCUAACUUUGACAAGCAACGAGAGGGGUAGACUCUACAAAGCAGGAUCAAUGAGUUAGCCAGCUAACUUUGACAAGCAACCAGAGGGGUAGACUCUACAAAGCAUGAUCAAUGAGUUAGCCAGCUAACUUUGACAAGCAACCAGAGGGGUAGACUCUACAAAGCAUGAUCAAUGAGUUAGCCAGCUAACUUUGACAAGAAACCAGAGGGGUAGACUCUACAAAGCAGGAUGAAUGAGUUAGCCAGCUAACUUUGACAAGCAACCAGAGGGGUAGACACUACAAAGCAUGAUCAAUGAGUUAGCCAGCUAACUUUGACAAGCAACCAGAGAGGUAGACUCUACAAAGCAGGAUGAAUGAGUUAGCCAGCUAACUUUGACAAGCAACCAGAGGGGUAGACUCUACAAAGCAGGAUCAAUGAGUUAGCCAGCUAACUUUGACAAGCAACCAGAGGGGUAGACUCUACAAAGCAUGAUCAAUGAGUUAGCCAGCUAACUUUGACAAGCAACCAGAGGGGUAGACUCUACAAAGCAUGAUCAAUGAGUUAGCCAGCUAACUUUGACAAGCAACCAGAGGGGUAGACACUACAAAGCAGGAUCAAUGAGUUAGCCAGGCCUAAAGCACUGCAGUGUUUUUUAUACAACAGAACAGAAACACAGCCUUUCCGAUGGCAACACCUUGUGCAUGACCAAAUAGACUGGCAACACCUUGUGCAUGACCAAAUAGACUGGCAACACCUUGUGCAUGACCAAAUAGACUGGCAACACCUUGUGCAUGACCAAAUAGACUGGCAACACCUUGUGCAUGACCAAAUAGACUGGCAACACCGGGUGCAUGACCAAAUAGACUGGCAACACCUUGUGCAUGACCAAAUAGACUGGCAACACCUUGUGCAUGACCAAAUAGACUGGCAACACCGGGUGCAUGACCAAAUAGACUGGCAACACCGGGUGCAUGACCAAAUAGACUGGCAACACCGGGUGCAUGACCAAAU
Long non-coding RNA from Oncorhynchus tshawytscha (Chinook salmon), 4761 nucleotides. The record is from Ensembl. NCBI's taxonomy places the organism in Eukaryota, Metazoa, Chordata, Actinopteri, Salmoniformes, Salmonidae.